UGGCUUACAUGGGCUUGUGAUGUAUUCCAUCUCUUGCACACUGGACCAGCGCUCCAGCUGCAGUUUGGUGUGCACGGGAUGGAAUACAUCAUGGAUUCAUGAUGUGG
RNAcentral lists this microRNA precursor (107 nucleotides) under Vitis vinifera (wine grape). RNAcentral's name for it is "miR2950 stem-loop (vvi-MIR2950)". The stretch from base 8 to 101 matches the Rfam family "MIR2950 microRNA precursor family". The record is from miRBase by way of RNAcentral. Lineage: Eukaryota; Viridiplantae; Streptophyta; Magnoliopsida; Vitales; Vitaceae.